AUUAGAAUGACAUUCACUCAUCUGGCAGCUCUGUGUGCGUAGGUGGAUAAGUAGUCUACCGUUACGAAAGUUUGGCUCAAAAAUUUAUAUAAAGUGAAGUUUAUGUUUUUGUGCGUCAAUAUUUACAAAACUGUUUAUCAAACAAAGCGGAAUCAAUAUAAUAACCAUUUCGUAUUUCAAACCGAAUUUCACAUCAAAAUUUCAACUCUCUGCCAUAAUGGAGAACUCAGCACUCUUUUCUGCUUCUGAUGAGCAUAAUUUUGACUAUGAAUUCGCUGGCGAUAUCUUUGAUUUUGAGAAUUUAUGGCAUGAAUAUGGCGCUGAAGCGCAACAGAAAGAGCAAUUCAUGGACUUAGAGCAAAGAUUUUUUAAGCAGCUGAGAAUAUCCGAAACAUCUGACGAAUGAUAUGAAAAUACGUACGUUUAUGAAUUUGUAAAAUAUGCAACAAUACCGCUAGCUUUAAGUUUUGAAUAAAAUAUGGUAAGUUUAUAUUAGGUUUAAUAAAAUUUUUCGCAACUUGCAAGGCCCUUGUGAGGCAUUUUUUGUCUAAAUUUGUUAUGUGCAAAAUGUUAUUUAAAAUGUAAACAUAAUUUUUUUUUUAUAAUGUUGAUUUGUACUAAUGACAAAGUCGCACUUGAGGCAUCAAAAAUUGUAAUACAGAUGUGGAACUCAGGUUUCUAAAGUAUUUGGUUUUUAAAUUCGUAAGUAAGAGAAAAAAAUAUUGUAAUUUUUUAAAUUAACAUUUCUUGAUUAUGGGAACUCUACCGCGAUUGUUAUUUAAAAUUAGUAUUACAUUUUUAUUUUUUAUUCUAUUUUAUUUUUUUUGUGUGUUAUAAAUACUAUUUAAGAUGAUGAAACUCUUGAGUCAUCAGUUUUUGUUAA
This is a long non-coding RNA of Anastrepha obliqua, 883 nucleotides long. RefSeq lists it as uncharacterized. The transcript is spliced from 3 exons. The record is from RefSeq and is a predicted model, not a curated record. NCBI's taxonomy places the organism in Eukaryota, Metazoa, Arthropoda, Insecta, Diptera, Tephritidae.